Molecule: long non-coding RNA, 1506 nt
Filed under: Erythranthe guttata (spotted monkey flower)
Lineage: Eukaryota; Viridiplantae; Streptophyta; Magnoliopsida; Lamiales; Phrymaceae
Description: long non-coding RNA (EGUT_LNC000659)
Source: RNAcentral
UCUGUUGCUACUUGCUAACACCUCUGCACUUUGUAUAUACGAAUUGUAUUUCCCGGGGGUGCCCUUGACAAUUAAGUUGCGAAGAUAUUCUCCGAAAGCAAAACUGCCGAGCUGUUGUUCCUCUCGGAAACGAGGUUUGGAUUGGCGGUCGACAAAGUUGGUAAGUCUGAGGGGCUUGUGUAAGUUGAGUUCCAGUUUUUUCCAAGUUUUCUACAAUUUUUUAGUUACAAAAUAUUCUACUUUAUUCAGUCAAUUUUCAUAAGUUCACUCGUUAAAACAGUCAAUUAGGUCAAUGCCAUAUUAUUUGCUGAUUUUUUUUAUAUUCUAAUUACAGUUAUUUUUUACUCGGGUAUAACUUUAGAAAACUUCAAUUCUUCUCCAAGUGAAAAACUAAUAAUAAUUUCGUUCCUCAAAAAAAAUAAAAAAUUCUACGAUUUUCGAAUUUUGAAAUUCAGAAUGAAAAAAAUUGCACCAAAUUAAUAUUAUAAGUGCAAGUUUUGAAAAAAAAAAAGAAUCCUUGGAACUCAAUAUUGGAUCGAAAAUCAAAAGUUAUACGUAUCCAAUUUCCAUUUAGAGGGUGUUUGGCUAAACUUAUUUUAAAUAGCUGAUAAGCUCUUACGUCUGAUAAGAUGUUUUUAGAGCUGAUAAGCUGUUACAUUUUAUUUUUAGGAUAAUUUUUAGAGUGUUUAGAUAAUGAGCUUAUUUCCUAUUUUUAUUCAUUAUAAGAUCUUAAAUAAAAAGGUGGAGUAGAGUUACUUAUUUAAAAAGAUCUUAUUUGCUCUCCAACAGCUUAUUUUAAAAAAAAUUAAGAUCUUUUUAAAAAAAUUACCAAACACUUUGGAAGAGCUUAUAAGCUCUAAAACAUCUUAUAAGCUCUUUUUAACAUCUUAUAAGCUUAGCCAAACACCCUCUGUUAAGUGUAUAUUUUUACACUUUAUCGUAUCUUUUUAUUUGAUCUUUUUGUGUGAGUUAACGAUAAUUGGUGGUUAAAAAGUUGAUUCAUUGUAUUUUAGGUAUAAAUUGAAGAAGUGGAAAAGUUUGAGGUCAAAACUGCAAAUUUGGAGAAAAUAUGGGCCAAAAGUGAAAUAAUCAAAAAUAUGCUGAAAUUGGCUGAAAACAGGCCCGCACGGCCGUGCCAAAAUUAGCCUAUUUUGGCACGGCCGUGCCAAAUGCUGAAUUUGGGCAGAAGGUUCGGCGAUUCUCGCGCGGCCGUGCGAGAAUUGCACUGAUUUUCGCGCGGCCGUGCCAAAUCACGUUGGAGGCAAUUUUGGACUUUUAAACACACAAGGAAACCUAGAAUCAUCUACCAAGUUGGGACAUCUAUUUAAGCCCAAACCAAGCACGAAUCACGGGGGACUUUUGACACAACCUUGGAGGGAGAGGAGCGAGAGAACGAAGAAUCGAAGACGGAGAAUUGACAAAUCUUCAUCAUAAUUCUUCUUUCACCUAUCUUUUCUUAAUCUAUGACUUUUAUUACGUUUAUUAUGUUUUUCGUUAUGAUUAGCU